This is a non-coding RNA of Heterocephalus glaber (naked mole-rat), 1473 nucleotides long. The record is from RefSeq and is a predicted model, not a curated record. NCBI's taxonomy places the organism in Eukaryota, Metazoa, Chordata, Mammalia, Rodentia, Bathyergidae.
UCCAGGUACGCCCUGCCCUGAGCAGCGCCCCUCCACCAGCCCUUCUGCCAUGCCCUUCCUGCCCUGAAGCCAGCAGACCAUGGACUGAAUUCCCCCAAACCACGAGCCAGAGUAAACCUCCCUUCCUUUCAGUGGAGGAUUCAGGACGACUCUGCAUCUUCCAGCAGACAUUAACUGAGCGUCCAGGACUCAGCAGGCACAGAAGGUGCCAAGCAGUCCCAGCGGCCCUGUCCCUGACCCUGGGGGGCGGAAGAAAUGUCUGCAGGGGAGGGUCUGAAGGGACAGGGACAAACGCCCCCAGGAGGAGAGGGGGCAACGCCUGAGCAUGUUUCAGAGGCCCCGAGCCCCAUCCUGUGCAUCCUUCGAGGCGCUUGGCCAGGAGGAGGAGGAGUGAAGGACCUGGAUGGACAGGGACCCAGUGACCACGGUCCCACAGGGGUGCCCCUCACGAGAUGAGAGUGUAAUGCGUGUGUCUCCGCUGCACUUCCCCUGGAGAGCUGUGCGCUGUGUGUUUGUUCCCUCUCCUCAGGGGGCAGGCACAGGUGCCAGCUGCCUGCUGUCACACCUCAUCUCCCUGGAGAUUCCAUGCCCAGCAGCUUGGCAGGGAGGCGAAGCUGUCGCCCGAAUGGCCAGGAGCGAGUCCAGUGAGGGCAGGGGCUCUGCCAGCUCUCACUGCACACCCAGCUCCAGCCCUGGCAGCAAAACCGUGAGCAGCAGCAAAUCCUACCAGCACCUGCUGUGUGCUGGACACGUCUCAAGGGAAAUGCCCGGCAUGGAAAAAUCUGUCAGGGACACGUUGGGCUGAGAGAUGCACACACCCGCCCCGUGACGCAGACCUCGGCCCUGAAGAGGUCCCGGACGCUCCAGGCGAGGCUCUGGUUGCCCGCGAGUUAUCACACCACUGCCUGCACUUUGGUGAACACAGGACUGAUGAGUACCCGGAAACUUGAAUUUCACUACUGUUUAGAUUUUUUAUUACACUUCUGCAUACUGACAUAUUCAAGGGUUUAUGCCGCAGUGAAAUGCAGAUAAAGGUAAUAAGUCCCCAAACGCUUUAAAAGCGCUGUGGACUCAGGAGCUGCAGCCUUUACAAGAAGCAAGCACCGUGGCUCCCAGGGCCUUCUGGGCGGCCAGCAGGUGGCGCUGGGUGUGAGCCCGGGGGCCGUCGGUCUCCGGGCACAGGGCAGCGUGGCCCGCAACCCUGGACAAUUCUCUGGAAAACAUCCCGCACUGCUGGGCUUCUGACUAUUCCAGCCAUAUGUGGGAGUGGUCAGCAAGUUGGAAGUGACGUGGCCAGGCCUUUUCUACAUCCCAGGUUCUGCGGGAUGCUGCCAUUAUGCAAUGAAUCAGCCAUCAAACAAAUAAAAGAGUGCAGCUGUGUUAAAGGAAAUCAAAAAGGAAGUCCUGUCAAAGCGAAAUUCACCUUAUAUUCUAAGAGGGUUUCUUCAACUCUGAAAGAAACUUGAAAAGAGC